Molecule: ribosomal RNA, 304 nt
Filed under: uncultured bacterium
Lineage: Bacteria
Description: bacterial SSU rRNA
Rfam family: Bacterial small subunit ribosomal RNA
Source: RNAcentral
GACGAACGCUGGCGGCGUGCUUAACACAUGCAAGUCGAGCGGUAAGGCCCUUUCGGGGGUACACGAGCGGCGAACGGGUGAGUAACACGUGGGUGACCUGCCCUCAGCUCUGGGAUAAGCCUGGGAAACCGGGUCUAAUACCGGAUAUGACUCCAUGACGCAUGUUGUGGGGUGAAAGCCUUGUGCGGCUGAGGAUGGGCCCCGCGGCCUAUCAGCUUGUUGGUGGGGUNAUGGCCUACCAAGGCGACGACGGUAGCCGGCCUGAGAGGCGACCGGCCACACUGGGACUGAGACACGGCCCAGA